UUGAAAGGGAAACGAUUGAAGUCAGUCGUACUGGCGGGAAAUCAACUUCUCGAGUGCUUGUCGUGGAUUACGUUGAGCUUCACGGCCUUCGUUGUUUGCGUUAUGGUGCUUUUGAGGUGUACUUUUCCGUAUGGUAGGUCAACAUCGAUUUUGAUCGUCAUAAAAUGAUCGGAGGAAUGUGGCUCUGAUUUCGGUUGGAGUGUUAUAGCCUUUGGUAGAUGUGACGAUUGGGAUCGAGGAUUGCAACGAAUACCCUUUGGGCUAUCCGUCUGACCUCUGAAAGUCGCUCGGGUGUUGAAAGCGUGCUUAUGACAUUCUAGUUGGCGGUCAAAAGGUUAGAACGUGAUUACAUUCGUUAAGGAUGU
Molecule: ribosomal RNA, 365 nt
Filed under: uncultured Glomeromycotina
Lineage: Eukaryota; Fungi; Glomeromycota
Description: eukaryotic LSU rRNA
Source: RNAcentral